UCCUUUGGGGAAAAAUCCAACCAAAACAAAAGCAGCUUUAAUAUAGCUGUAUAGCCAGUAUACCAAAUAGGGUUCCUGAAGUGAGUUAAAAACUACAAUCCUGACAUUUCUAUUUAAAUUUUUCUUUAGGGAGAUCACAUUUGGAUGAGUUCAAAAGCUGUUUUCAUGAGUUUUUGCAAUUUUCAUCUACAGCAAAAUUUAGCUGUUUUCACCAGGCAUCACUGCAAGUUGCCAGGAAAGUGUCAGAAUUCUUCUCAGUAAAUCAGUUUUUACAAAUUUGUCUCAGGUAGAAAAAACAUUUGCAAAGAAAAUGAGUCUUAUGACUAAAGGGGAAAAAAAAGUAACAAAUCUAGUGAUGGGGAAAGAAAAAUAGUGUUCUUGCUAAAGGCUAUUUUUAUCUUUGUAAUUUUUAAAGACUGUUGUUUAUAUCCUUGUAGUAAGCUCUCCUGUUUACUGAUCGAAUAACUGGUAAGAAAAAAUGCUUUAAGACCUUCAAAAUAUUUGUGAUAGAUGAGGAUAAAAAUGUUGCUACACUCUAUGAAAGACAAUUUCUUCUGUAAUAAAAUGGUUUGCUCACACAUUCUUAACUGCCUAUUUUUCAUCUUGUAGGUUAGCGAGCUCUGUAGUCCAUGCUUGAAUAAGUCUGUCCAGUUGCACCUUGAACACUGAAAACAAUUGUACAACAUCAGUUCUUUCUUCAAGCCUCAAAUGCCACUAGUGAGGCACACACUGCCAGAAUGGACCUCACCUUCCCAUGGUGCAAGGAAGAGUCAGAGCUGCCUCCCUGCAGAGUUUCAUUCCUACACCGGCUCCGAAAGUGGCAACACUGAGGAAUAUUUUGAUUAAAUACUAGAGUAAUUCAGUUUUCCUGACCUCAUCUCAUAUUCUGUGGGAAGCAACGACCUUUGCUUGCAGGGCUCUCAGUUCAUCCCAAGAGGAGAGAAGACACAAGAACUGCCAAUACCUGAAUCAAGCUUUUGAUUCACCCCUAAUUACAGUCCAUAAAGAAGCUUUGUCCUCCUCUUGUGCUCUCCUGCCUUCCCCUCCACAGCUGCCUGCAAUUCCCGCCAAAAGGUUGGUUCAGACCCUCACUGUGCACGUGUUUAUAUCCAAGUUUAUCUGAGCCCAGACUAUGCCUGUCUCUGAUCAAAGGUCAACUUUAAACUUAAGCAGAUGUUUGUCCUCAGAGUUUACAUAGUUUAUAUAUUUAGAAGACAAAUGUUCUCUUGGCUUUUGUUAUUCUAUAUUAAACAAGCCAAAUUCUCUUUAGGUAUGACUGACAGGGAGCAGGCAGUGGUGUUUGUGCUCAGUCAGUGCCAGGGGCCGGCAGAACU
Molecule: non-coding RNA, 1334 nt
Organism: Taeniopygia guttata (zebra finch)
Lineage: Eukaryota; Metazoa; Chordata; Aves; Passeriformes; Estrildidae
Source: RefSeq, a predicted model, not a curated record